Molecule: long non-coding RNA, 452 nt
Filed under: Salvia miltiorrhiza (redroot sage)
Lineage: Eukaryota; Viridiplantae; Streptophyta; Magnoliopsida; Lamiales; Lamiaceae
Description: long non-coding RNA (SMIL_LNC009638)
Source: RNAcentral
CAUCGCUUGCAUAGUUAAUUUUCAAAAUCUUCGACAACCGUUUUUUUUUUGCGGAGAAGGAAAUGAGGGAGGUUAGAAUUAACAUAUUUUUAAUUUUAUGAAUAUCGUUGGAAAAAUGGUUAGUUAAAGGUAUUAACACUUGAGUAUAUCAGAUAGAUCAAAUUCUUUCUCUAAAAAGAAAAAAAAAUCACAAUAUCAUUAUACAAAAUAUUUGAACCCCUCUCCACCCCAAACCAAAAAAAAAGAAAAAAACUGUGCCUUAUUGAAGUUGGACGCAAGUAAAAGAAAUUCACAAAAAUCAGAUGUCAAUCCAUUGAUCACGUCUCAUUCAUUAUUUUCCUAUAAAUAUUUUCAUAUAAUAUCACCCAAUUCAACAGUCAAUUCUAGUAAAAUUAUAGUAUAAAAAAUGUGCACUUCAUUAAUUUAUGUACUUAUAUGUGUUCUACAAGUUU